AUUGAAUGCUUUGUCAGGAGUUGGUAUACUUUCGACCCCAUAUGCAGUAUCAUCAGGAGGAUGGCUGAGCUUGAUCCUUCUCUUUAUAAUUGCCAUUGCAGCCUUUUACUCAGGUUUACUGAUUAAAAGGUGUAUGGAAGCGGAUUCAAAUAUCAGAACUUAUCCUGACAUAGGUCAUCGUGCUUUUGGAAACAAAGGAAGAGUUUUGAUAUCAAUUUUCAUGUAUAUGGAGCUCUACUUAGUCGCCACUGGUUUCCUGAUUCUAGAGGGGGAUAACUUG
RNAcentral lists this unclassified non-coding RNA (280 nucleotides) under Hevea brasiliensis (rubber tree). Lineage: Eukaryota; Viridiplantae; Streptophyta; Magnoliopsida; Malpighiales; Euphorbiaceae. The record is from RNAcentral.